Molecule: small RNA, 588 nt
Filed under: Pan troglodytes (chimpanzee)
Lineage: Eukaryota; Metazoa; Chordata; Mammalia; Primates; Hominidae
Description: retained intron
Source: RNAcentral
GGAGGAAUGGCGUUUUCUAUGAAGAAGCCCUUUGGAGUAUGUGAGGUGCUGACUUUACAUGUAGAGAGAUGAAAUGACUGUGAUGGUUGUGUUACAUGGGGCCGGUGGUUGUUUUAAACAGAUCAUUGAGCGCUUGAAGCUGGUGCCCCUGAAUCAGGAAAGUGUGGAAGAGAGAGUGGCUGCCUUCAGAAAUUUCAGUGAUGAAAUCAGGCACAACCUCUCAGAAGUGCUUCUUGCCACCAUGAACAUCUUGUUCACACAGUUUAAGAGGCUGAAGGGGACAAGUCCAUCCUCGUCAUCCAGGCCCCAGCGAGUCAUCGAGGACCGCGACUCUCAACUCCGAAGUCAAGCCCGCACCCUGAUUACCUUUGCUGGAAUGAUACCAUACCGAACAUCUGGGGACACCAAUGCGAGGCUGGUGCAGAUGGAGGUCCUCAUGAAUUAAGUGCCAUGCUUUGGGGGAGUCUGGGUCGGCACACUGUCAGUACAUCAGGCACAUGGGCCCACUAGGCUGGGGUUUCUGGUUUUGUUUCUGUUGUGUUUUGUUUUGGUUUCUGUAUUAUGUAUUUUUGUCAACACCAAUAAAUU